ACGGGAGGCAGCAGUGGGGGAUAUUGCACAAUGGGGGAAACCCUGAUGCAGCGACGCCGCGUGAGUGAUGAAGUAUUUCGGUAUGUAAAGCUCUAUCAGCAGGGAAGAAAAUGACGGUACCUGACUAAGAAACACCGGCUAACUCCGUGCCAGCAGCCGCGGCAAUACGGGGGGUGUAAGCGUUGUUCGGAAUUACUGGGCGUAAAGGGCGUGCAGGCGGUCUCCGCAAGUUGAAUGUGAAAUCCCCGAGCUUAACUUGGGACGUGCGUUCAAGACUGCGGGACUUGAAUACGGGAGAGGGUCGUGGAAUUCCUGGUGUAGAGGUGAAAUUCGUAGAGAUCAGGAGGAACACUCGUGGCGAAGGCGACGACCUGGACCGAUAUUGACGCUGAGACGCGAAAGCGUGGGUAGCAAACAGGAUUAGAUACCCUGGUA
RNAcentral lists this ribosomal RNA (435 nucleotides) under uncultured bacterium. RNAcentral describes it as "partial 16S ribosomal RNA". It matches the Rfam family "Bacterial small subunit ribosomal RNA", at positions 341 to 792 of the family's 1533-position model. The record is from RNAcentral.